Anolis sagrei ordinatus is the source of this 691-nucleotide long non-coding RNA. RefSeq lists it as uncharacterized. NCBI's taxonomy places the organism in Eukaryota, Metazoa, Chordata, Lepidosauria, Squamata, Anolidae. The record is from RefSeq and is a predicted model, not a curated record.
CUGGUGUCACAACUAGCAGGUCAGCGUCAAAGCCUACAAGAGAGAAGAAAUCAAGCGAGAGGAGGGGGUGAUAAAUUUCGUCAUGGCUCCAUUUGCCAGAGGCACUAAGGCCCAAAGUGACCUGGAUUGGGGUUGUGGAGGACUGGAUGGGGCAAGGGAGGGAUGCUCUUUGUGAUCUCGUCAGAAAGGAUUGUAUUUCCUUGAGUGCCUCGUUCUACAGGAUAGAAUUAAUACAAGACAAGAAACAAUCAUGACCAUCUAAUCACCUCUCAACAAAUAAUUCCAGGUAAGAUGCUUAUGCAACAGCAAAGAAGAAAAUUCUGACAGGCAAGAGCAAGUCUUGACAGAGCACAAGUGUUGUGAUCUCAUUAGUAGCCUAAGGCUACUUGCAACCUUUCCUUGUGCUGAGAAAGAGCCAAGUAACCUCACUUGAGCCAUGUGUACUGCUGCCUCGCAACAGAGCAUGUACUUGGACGUCUUUUCAGAUGUAUGAUAUUGCAAAAUCGUGCAGUCAUGGAACAAAAGAGUUUCAGCUGCUAAAAUGCUAUCUUCCAGUGACCAUACACAUACACACAUAAAACCUGAUGAAUUUGGUACAAAAAGGAGGAGAAGUAUUCUCUGUCCCUGGGUUAAUUUUCUGCCAGGGUUAGCCCUAGAAUCACCAGCAUUCCUGUGUGGCCUGGCAAGUGAG